This 195-nucleotide long non-coding RNA is filed under the name Dasypus novemcinctus (nine-banded armadillo). Its description in RNAcentral is "lncRNA (ENSDNOG00000049896.1)". Lineage: Eukaryota; Metazoa; Chordata; Mammalia; Cingulata; Dasypodidae. The record is from RNAcentral.
GGAUGGUCCUAUAAAGAGAAUCAGCUCUAGACUGCUUUAUUUCCACUGAACAGGAAUGGGUUAGAGUGGGUGGUGACAGAAAAUAAGAGUGGCAUUGAGUCUGCAACAGAGGUAUGGAUCAGAAUGGAGAGCCCUGUUUCUCCCUUUGUUCUGAGAUUCACAAACAGAGGGGACUUAGUCCUGAGAAAGUGGGUA